UACGUAGGGUGCAAGCGUUAAUCGGAAUUACUGGGCGUAAAGCGUGCGCAGGCGGUUUUGUAAGACAGAGGUGAAAUCCCCGGGCUCAACCUGGGAACUGCCUUUGUGACUGCAAGGCUGGAGUGCGGCAGAGGGGGAUGGAAUUCCGCGUGUAGCAGUGAAAUGCGUAGAUAUGCGGAGGAACACCGAUGGCGAAGGCAAUCCCCUGGGCCUGCACUGACGCUCAUGCACGAAAGCGUGGGGAGCAAACAGGAUUAGAAACCCUAGUAGUCC
Molecule: ribosomal RNA, 273 nt
Filed under: uncultured prokaryote
Description: partial 16S ribosomal RNA
Rfam family: Bacterial small subunit ribosomal RNA
Source: RNAcentral